AUGGGGUAGGCCAUAAGCACAAAAUGCUGGAUUUUAGGGUUUUUAGCUCUUUUUCACUCCUUUUCUCGAUCGGGGCUCCGAUUAAAGUAAAAACCUGAAAACAAAGGAAAACACAGUAAUAACCUAACAAAAUGAUAAUAAAACAGCUAGAAUGCAUGUGAAAUCGGAGUCGAAAAUACGUAAAUUUUAGUGUGAUCACUGACUCCGAUAGUCAGGAACAUAUCUGAUUGCAGUCUUGUUUUGC
This 244-nucleotide long non-coding RNA is filed under the name Lathyrus oleraceus (garden pea). Its description in RNAcentral is "Pisum sativum (pea) long non-coding RNA (PSAT_LNC018501)". The record is from RNAcentral. Lineage: Eukaryota; Viridiplantae; Streptophyta; Magnoliopsida; Fabales; Fabaceae.